UGUAAUUACGGUCAACUUGACCGUACAAAUUCCUAAUACGUUGUCUAAUCACAAACCAUUCAUGUUAAGUCAACAUUUCAUACAGUACAGCAGGGGGCAGUAGCGAGACCCCAGCUGUCAUGAACCGCUAAUGAAACAGAAGAGUGAGACAAUUCAAACUACACCUGCGCUGGAGUUAAUUGACUCUCUGCCCGCGCGCGCGUUACCCUUUGCAGUUCUGUCCGUUUUAACAGAGGAGGUCAACACACGAAAAGUUUUUCUGGUCCUUAAUAAAAGGUGUGCUUUACUCGCAACAGAAUGCAACUGUUGAGAAGAAGAGGGAGUGCCUCAUCAAGGCACUUUGUGUCUACUUAAAUGAAGAACCGGACAGUCUCUUCAAAGAAUAUCUGGAUACAGAUGGCUGUGCUGCAGAGAGGAUCUUGAACAUGUUGUAUUUGGCAUCUACAGCAUCAAUGUUGGAGGUGAUGCCACUACCUCUCCAGCUGAUGUUGGAAUUGUUAUUGAGGGUGUUGAAGUGCUUCAUGACUUGGGAGACAUCGCUACUACAUGUACGGUCUUAAUGUCUCCCAGUUAUUCUCAGGAACUGAAAAUAUUCUUUGAGGUACUGCAGAAGAUCUUCCUCCAGCUGGAUGCUACCAGACUUUCACCAAAAGUACAGAUGCUUAAAAACAAACCAACAUCAAGCACCUGAGUGUAAGAUUCAUACAGUGAGAACCUUUUUUUGUUUUCUAUUUUUUUGUGAGUGACAUGAUUUUUUUCUUAUGUAA
This is a long non-coding RNA of Clarias gariepinus (North African catfish), 767 nucleotides long. RefSeq lists it as uncharacterized. NCBI's taxonomy places the organism in Eukaryota, Metazoa, Chordata, Actinopteri, Siluriformes, Clariidae. The transcript has 4 exons. The record is from RefSeq and is a predicted model, not a curated record.